AGAUUGGAGUCUCUGACCUGUGACGCACCCGCGACCCGACCCGGCCGGCGCUCCACCGUCCGGCUACCUCAGGCCACCGCGAGGGCACCUUCUUCUUCGCCUCUUCGUCGCCGUCACGCAGGUGAGCUCAGAUCGUCCAUGCACCCGACGAGAAAGAAGAAUCGACGGUGGGAAUGUCCGACUGCUCCGGUGAGUUUCUGCAAAUUCCGGCGAGCGAUUUGGCUGUAUGUGUUGUGACUACACUUGUAGAGAAGAUAUUGUGAAGCUUUCUGGGUUGUGGCACGAGAAAUCAUCAAUUCAUCACCAACCCAGUUUCGGCAGCAAGCUUUGGGAAACAAAGUUUUUGUUACAACACCAGAAACUAACAAAGGUAAACUAGAGAAGCAAACCUGGAAUUGUGCGGUUUGAUUUCGUGUGCAGAAUGGGCUGUGUGUGUCUUGGUAUGAAUUGAUUGAAUUGUGAGUUGAAAUUGAAAUGGACCGGUUAUGAGUUUGACAUUGUUAAAGUUGUUUUAUUCUGGGUGUUUGGAUUUUAUGCUUGAAUUGAGAACUCAGUUUGGAUGAUCAAUGUAUGUUUUGGUAUUGCAAUUG
Molecule: long non-coding RNA, 590 nt
Organism: Rosa rugosa (rugosa rose)
Lineage: Eukaryota; Viridiplantae; Streptophyta; Magnoliopsida; Rosales; Rosaceae
Exons: 2
Source: RefSeq, a predicted model, not a curated record